Populus nigra (black poplar) is the source of this 883-nucleotide long non-coding RNA. RefSeq lists it as uncharacterized. Lineage: Eukaryota; Viridiplantae; Streptophyta; Magnoliopsida; Malpighiales; Salicaceae. The record is from RefSeq and is a predicted model, not a curated record. The transcript has 2 exons.
CUGACGAAACCUGGAGUCUUCUUAUUCUUUCUGGGCUUUGGACCUGUCACUGUCAGAUCCAGCGGGCAGCCCAACUGGCCUCCUCCCCUUCAUAUAUACCUAUUGCCACUCCUCAAUUUUCGUUGUAAUAUUGCAACUACCACUACACUCUCCGUUGCCCUCUCUCUCUCUCUCUCUCUCUCAACAUGGGGGAAAGAGAAAAGGGACUUUCAAAGUUGAAAGAAAGGCACAAGUUUCUGCAAGGGAACCUGUUCAAGAGAAUGAACAAAGCUAGCACGUGCUACGCUACAAGCCAGGAAAAGAACUUCGCAGAUGGAUUCUUUGCUGGCUUUCAACUGGUAGCUGAAAAGAUGGGCUUUUCAUGUUAAUUGGGUGCUAUCCUACCUGAGCUUUUUCUUAGCUAUAUCUUCUUCAUUUAUUUUUUCUUUUUUCUUCUUGACCUUGUAAGACCUUUUCUUGACCUUGUAAGACCCUGUUUUUCGUUCUUCAUUUUUGUUUUUUUAAUUGUCAUUUACUCUAUAUCAAAACUUUAUGAUAUAGAUUUUUGACAAAAUCUUUUCCCAUUUUCAUCCAACUUAUCUUCUCUUUUCUUAUCUAUCCCUCCUGAGCUGUUUGAAUUAGACUACGUAACAUUUUCCUUCAAAAUCACCCAAUUAAAGACAAAUCAACAACCUCUGAAAGGUCAUGCAAGCGAUCGAUGGAGCCUUAUUUACCAUGCGAGGUUCACAUUUUCUUACAUGUAAACUCUUGGAGGAAGAAUCAUGUUUGAGCUAAGAGAUCUCUGAGGAGUUAAGUGCUGUCAAGAGUGAAGAGUACUUGAAUCGCAUGUAAAAAUGUCUUGUCUUUCUUUCUCGGUAAAAAUAAAAAUACCCUAUCUUUCUUA